GGGUUGUGAGGAUAAGCGACUAAGCGUACACGGUGGAUGCCCUGGCAGUCAGAGGCGAUGAAGGACGUGCUAAUCUGCGAUAAGCGUCGGUAAGGUGAUAUGAACCGUUAUAACCGGCGAUUUCCGAAUGGGGAAACCCAGUGUGAUUCGUCACACUAUCAUUAACUGAAUCCAUAGGUUAAUGAGGCGAACCGGGGGAACUGAAACAUCUAAGUACCCCGAGGAAAAGAAAUCAACCGAGAUUCCCCCAGUAGCGGCGAGCGAACGGGGAGCAGCCCAGAGCCUGAAUCAGUGUGUGUGUUAGUGGAAGCGUCUGGAAAGGCGCGCGAUACAGGGUGACAGCCCCGUACACAAAAAUGCACAUGCUGUGAGCUCGAUGAGUAGGGCGGGACACGUGGUAUCCUGUCUGAAUAUGGGGGGACCAUCCUCCAAGGCUAAAUACUCCUGACUGACCGAUAGUGAACCAGUACCGUGAGGGAAAGGCGAAAAGAACCCCGGCGAGGGGAGUGAAAAAGAACCUGAAACCGUGUACGUACAAGCAGUGGGAGCCUCUUUUAUGGGGUGACUGCGUACCUUUUGUAUAAUGGGUCAGCGACUUAUAUUCUGUAGCAAGGUUAACCGAAUAGGGGAGCCGAAGGGAAACCGAGUCUUAACUGGGCGUUAAGUUGCAGGGUAUAGACCCGAAACCCGGUGAUCUAGCCAUGGGCAGGUUGAAGGUUGGGUAACACUAACUGGAGGACCGAACCGACUAAUGUUGAAAAAUUAGCGGAUGACUUGUGGCUGGGGGUGAAAGGCCAAUCAAACCGGGAGAUAGCUGGUUCUCCCCGAAAGCUAUUUAGGUAGCGCCUCGUGAAUUCAUCUCCGGGGGUAGAGCACUGUUUCGGCAAGGGGGUCAUCCCGACUUACCAACCCGAUGCAAACUGCGAAUACCGGAGAAUGUUAUCACGGGAGACACACGGCGGGUGCUAACGUCCGUCGUGAAGAGGGAAACAACCCAGACCGCCAGCUAAGGUCCCAAAGUCAUGGUUAAGUGGGAAACGAUGUGGGAAGGCCCAGACAGCCAGGAUGUUGGCUUAGAAGCAGCCAUCAUUUAAAGAAAGCGUAAUAGCUCACUGGUCGAGUCGGCCUGCGCGGAAGAUGUAACGGGGCUAAACCAUGCACCGAAGCUGCGGCAGCGACGCUUAUGCGUUGUUGGGUAGGGGAGCGUUCUGUAAGCCUGUGAAGGUGUACUGUGAGGUAUGCUGGAGGUAUCAGAAGUGCGAAUGCUGACAUAAGUAACGAUAAAGCGGGUGAAAAGCCCGCUCGCCGGAAGACCAAGGGUUCCUGUCCAACGUUAAUCGGGGCAGGGUGAGUCGACCCCUAAGGCGAGGCCGAAAGGCGUAGUCGAUGGGAAACAGGUUAAUAUUCCUGUACUUGGUGUUACUGCGAAGGGGGGACGGAGAAGGCUAUGUUGGCCGGGCGACGGUUGUCCCGGUUUAAGCGUGUAGGCUGGUUUUCCAGGCAAAUCCGGAAAAUCAAGGCUGAGGCGUGAUGACGAGGCACUACGGUGCUGAAGCAACAAAUGCCCUGCUUCCAGGAAAAGCCUCUAAGCAUCAGGUAACAUCAAAUCGUACCCCAAACCGACACAGGUGGUCAGGUAGAGAAUACCAAGGCGCUUGAGAGAACUCGGGUGAAGGAACUAGGCAAAAUGGUGCCGUAACUUCGGGAGAAGGCACGCUGAUAUGUAGGUGAAGUCCCUCGCGGANGAACUAGGCAAAAUGGUGCCGUAACUUCGGGAGAAGGCACGCUGAUAUGUAGGUGAAGCGACUUGCUCGUGGAGCUGAAAUCAGUCGAAGAUACCAGCUGGCUGCAACUGUUUAUUAAAAACACAGCACUGUGCAAACACGAAAGUGGACGUAUACGGUGUGACGCCUGCCCGGUGCCGGAAGGUUAAUUGAUGGGGUCAGCGCAAGCGAAGCUCUUGAUCGAAGCCCCGGUAAACGGCGGCCGUAACUAUAACGGUCCUAAGGUAGCGAAAUUCCUUGUCGGGUAAGUUCCGACCUGCACGAAUGGCGUAAUGAUGGCCAGGCUGUCUCCACCCGAGACUCAGUGAAAUUGAACUCGCUGUGAAGAUGCAGUGUACCCGCGGCAAGACGGAAAGACCCCGUGAACCUUUACUAUAGCUUGACACUGAACAUUGAGCCUUGAUGUGUAGGAUAGGUGGGAGGCUUAGAAGUGUGGACGCCAGUCUGCAUGGAGCCGACCUUGAAAUACCACCCUUUAAUGUUUGAUGUUCUAACGUUGACCCGUGAUCCGGGUUGCGGACAGUGUCUGGUGGGUAGUUUGACUGGGGCGGUCUCCUCCUAAAGAGUAACGGAGGAGCACGAAGGUUGGCUAAUCCUGGUCGGACAUCAGGAGGUUAGUGCAAUGGCAUAAGCCAGCUUGACUGCGAGCGUGACGGCGCGAGCAGGUGCGAAAGCAGGUCAUAGUGAUCCGGUGGUUCUGAAUGGAAGGGCCAUCGCUCAACGGAUAAAAGGUACUCCGGGGAUAACAGGCUGAUACCGCCCAAGAGUUCAUAUCGACGGCGGUGUUUGGCACCUCGAUGUCGGCUCAUCACAUCCUGGGGCUGAAGUAGGUCCCAAGGGUAUGGCUGUUCGCCAUUUAAAGUGGUACGCGAGCUGGGUUUAGAACGUCGUGAGACAGUUCGGUCCCUAUCUGCCGUGGGCGCUGGAGAAUUGAGGGGGGCUGCUCCUAGUACGAGAGGACCGGAGUGGACGCAUCCCUGGUGUUCGGGUUGUCAUGCCAAUGGCACUGCCCGGUAGCUAAAUGCGGAAGAGAUAAGUGCUGAAAGCAUCUAAGCACGAAACUUGCCCCGAGAUGAGUUCUCCCUGACUCCUUGAGAG
RNAcentral lists this ribosomal RNA (2882 nucleotides) under Escherichia coli. RNAcentral describes it as "bacterial LSU rRNA". It matches the Rfam family "Bacterial large subunit ribosomal RNA". Lineage: Bacteria; Pseudomonadati; Pseudomonadota; Gammaproteobacteria; Enterobacterales; Enterobacteriaceae. The record is from RNAcentral.